GUGAGGAAUUUUCCGCAAUGGGCGAAAGCCUGACGGAGCAAUGCCGCGUGAAGGAUGAAGGCCUAUGGGUUGUAAACUUCUUUUCUCAGAAAAGAAUUAUGACGGUAUCUGAGGAAUAAGCAUCGGCUAACUCUGUGCCAGCAGCCGCGGUAAGACAGAGGAUGCAAGCGUUAUCCGGAAUGAUUGGGCGUAAAGCGUCUGUAGGUUGUUUAAAAAGUAUUCUGUCAAAGAUUAGGGCUUAACCCUAGAUAGGCAGAAUAAACUUUUAAGCUAGAGUUUGGUAGAGGCAGAGGGAAUUCCCGGUGGAGCGGUGAAAUGCGUAGAUAUCGGGAGGAACACCAAAGGCGAAGGCACUCUGCUGGGCCAAUACUAACACUGAGAGACGAAAGCGAGGGGAGCAAAUGGGAUUAGAAACCCGAGUAGCC
RNAcentral lists this ribosomal RNA (425 nucleotides) under uncultured bacterium. RNAcentral describes it as "partial 16S ribosomal RNA". It matches the Rfam family "Bacterial small subunit ribosomal RNA", at positions 354 to 795 of the family's 1533-position model. The record is from RNAcentral.